GGGGGGGGGGGGGGGGGGGGGGGGGGGGGGGGGGGGGGGGGGGGGGGGGGGGGGGGGGGGGGGGGGGGGGGGGGGAAAAAAAAAAAAAAAAAAAAGUUCCGGUUUUAAGUUAAAAAAAAAAAAAAAAAAAACCGUAAGUAAAACGAGGCUGAACUGGGGUGCCGUCCGUCAACCACCGACCGCAGCCGGGGGAGCCGGGGCUGCUUCUUCCUGCCGCAGCGCUCCGCGCCCAGCCCGGAGGGGGAUCGGGGCGGCCCGAGCCGAGCGGAGCCGCCUCGCCGGGGGGGGGGGGGGCCUCGCCGCCUCUCGCACCGACGCCGGGGAGGGCUCAGCGCGGCGCUGGGGCGGCGGCUCCAGGUGCCCUCGGGGCGGCGUGAGAAGCUGGAGAAAUUAUUUAAGAAGCUGA
This 406-nucleotide long non-coding RNA is filed under the name Ficedula albicollis (Collared flycatcher). RNAcentral describes it as "lncRNA (ENSFALG00000024568.1)". The record is from RNAcentral. Lineage: Eukaryota; Metazoa; Chordata; Aves; Passeriformes; Muscicapidae.